This 268-nucleotide ribosomal RNA is filed under the name uncultured bacterium. RNAcentral's name for it is "partial 16S ribosomal RNA". It matches the Rfam family "Bacterial small subunit ribosomal RNA", at positions 336 to 618 of the family's 1533-position model. The record is from RNAcentral.
UUCCUACGGGGGGCAGCAGUGGGGAAUAUUGCACAAUGGGGGAAACCCUGAUGCAGCAACGCCGCGUGAAGGAAGACGGUUUUCGGAUUGUAAACUUCUUUUCUUAGUGGAGAAGAAAGUGACGGUAGCUAAGGAAUAAGCAUCGGCUAACUACGUGCCAGCAGCAGCGGUAAUACGUAGGAUGCGAGCGUUAUCCGGAAUUACUGGGUGUAAAGGGAGCGCAGGCGGGACUGCAAGGUGGAUGGGAAAUCACGCAGCUUAACUACGG